This 1242-nucleotide long non-coding RNA is filed under the name Heterocephalus glaber (naked mole-rat). RNAcentral describes it as "lncRNA (ENSHGLG00000036501.1)". The record is from RNAcentral. Lineage: Eukaryota; Metazoa; Chordata; Mammalia; Rodentia; Bathyergidae.
GAGAGAGAGAGAGAGAGAGAGAGAGAGAGAGAGAGAGAGAGAGGAGAGAUCCAAGUAGGGACAUUGCCUAGGAGGGUUAGUUUUAGUUCCUGUCUCUAAAAUCAGGGUAGUCACCUCAAUAGGGAAAGUGAAUUGGCUAUGAAAUGAAAAGGGAAAAAUAAUUUCCACCAAAUCAGUAAGAAAGCAAGAGGAAGGAGUUGUUCACUUAAUUCUGACAACCGAGAGGCCCUGAGUCCUGGCCCUGUUGUCUCUGCUACCUCCCAAAGGCCGGUUACAAUGCUGCCUUCGAGUGGAUUAUCAGAUACAGGUGGUGUCAGUUUGGUGCGAUCAAAGGCUUCAACAUGGAGAGAAAUGGAGAGAAGAAGUGCUCAGGAGAUGCUCCCAAAGUGGUUUGCUCUGAAAGUUGCUUGGAGGUGGUGAUACUUGGUCAUUGGCAGGGGAAGGGAAAAAGCAUUUUCUGAGGGCUGAAGUUCAGAGGCCAAGCAGUGUCUGCUGGGGAGGGAUUUAUCCAGGCUGAUUCAGCUGCGUUUGUGCAGAGAAGUUCCCGGAGUGGGUAAAGCAUGUUGGGGCACUCAGCGACAUUAUCCUCUGGGCCGUGGGAUACCACUGGGGCCAGAGAGCUGGGCAGCUGAUAGCCUGUAUCACUGAUUAUCUGGCUCAUUUGGGGAAUCUGAGGACGGUGACUCCAUCAGCGAAUGAUGAAGGAGACAAGUUCUGGCCACAAGGGCCCGGGCAAUGUUUCUGGGAGCCCUUUGCAUUCCAUUAUAUUUCCUGUCACAAUCACCCUCGUCUCUGCCCUAGAAUGAGACUCAAAUUCUUUAAGUCCAGCUGCUUUGGACUCAACAAACUUCCCAUUGGGAAACAAUGCUUUUGAUUUUCAGUUUGACCACUAACCUUGAGCUAGGUAAUUUAUCUUGCUGAGCCUUGGAUUUCCCCCUGAACAUGGAAAUGAUAAUACCUCCUUUGCAAGUGUUAGGAUAAAUGCAAGAGUCCUGUGGAAUGUAAGGCACACAUUAGGUGCUCAACAAAUACCAGAUCCUUCUUAUUUGGUCCUUUCAAACCAGGACUAGUUUUUUUUUACUUUAAUGGGUUCAGCAUAUCACUCAAAAUACUUCACUUAAAAACAAUCAAAGCUUACAUAAUCACCAGCCUAAGUGGUUGCAUUAGCCUGUUAUUCUGUCAUCUUUUUCCAAUAAACAAACUGUCUUCCUCUCUCUUUCCUUUCUGUGGACGGAUCUGGAG